RNAcentral lists this ribosomal RNA (429 nucleotides) under Acidobacteriota bacterium. RNAcentral's name for it is "Acidobacteria bacterium partial 16S ribosomal RNA". It matches the Rfam family "Bacterial small subunit ribosomal RNA", at positions 355 to 776 of the family's 1533-position model. Lineage: Bacteria; Pseudomonadati; Acidobacteriota. The record is from RNAcentral.
UGGGGAAUUUUGGACAAUGGGGGAAACCCUGAUCCAGCCAUCCCGCGUGUGCGAUGAAGGCCUUCGGGUUGUAAAGCACUUUUGGCAGGAAAGAAACGUCAUAGGUUAAUACCCCGUGAAACUGACGGUACCUGCAGAAUAAGCACCGGCUAACUACGUGCCAGCAGCCGCGGUAAUACGUAGGGUGCAAGCGUUAAUCGGAAUUACUGGGCGUAAAGCGUGCGCAGGCGGUUCGGAAAGAAAGAUGUGAAAUCCCAGAGCUCAACUUUGGAACUGCAUUUUUAACUACCGGACUAGAGUGUGUCAGAGGGAGGUGGAAUGCCGCGUGUAGCAGUGAAAUGCGUAGAUAUGCGGAGGAACACCGAUGGCGAAGGCAGCCUCCUGGGAUAACACUGACGCUCAUGCACGAAAGCGUGGGGAGCAAACAGG